This is a microRNA precursor of Chlorocebus sabaeus (green monkey), 80 nucleotides long. Lineage: Eukaryota; Metazoa; Chordata; Mammalia; Primates; Cercopithecidae. The record is from Ensembl.
AUCAGGUUGGUGCAAAAAUAAUUGUGGUUUUUGCCAUUACUUUCGAUGGCAAAAACCACAAUUACUUUUGCAGCAACCUA